Molecule: long non-coding RNA, 478 nt
Filed under: Homo sapiens (human)
Lineage: Eukaryota; Metazoa; Chordata; Mammalia; Primates; Hominidae
Description: HSALNT0400796
Source: RNAcentral
AGGGGUAGGGGGGUAACAGCUUGUGGGCUCAGGAUUACCAUGCUCACCAACGAGGCCACAAGCACAUCCCAGCUGCCCUAGGGCUCUCCUAGCAAAUGGGAAGGGGCUGAGGGCAAAGGAAGGUCUGAGCCCAUGGGUUCAGAACAAGGAAGUGCAAAGAUUACCACUGGUUUGCAAGCUGACAGGAUGUGGUACAUGUCAGCCCUCCCUCAGGAAGUAUGACAUACUGCCGGAACUGUGGCUAAUGGUGCGGACCACCCUGCUCACUGUUAGCAAAGUGGGUAGCUACCCUCUCUUCUGGAAGCCCCUCUGCAGCACUCCUCUUGGGAGUAGAAAAGGAAGUGGUCAAGCUCAGCCCCAGCCUCCUCAGCUUUCUGCAGCUGAGCCUCCAGACCUACAUUUGGGAGCUGAUCCGUCUUGCUCUCAGUUAGGGCCCAGCCCUUCUGUGGGGACCAGGAAAAUCUUUGCUCACCUGGAG